Molecule: long non-coding RNA, 207 nt
Filed under: Elaeis guineensis (African oil palm)
Lineage: Eukaryota; Viridiplantae; Streptophyta; Magnoliopsida; Arecales; Arecaceae
Description: long non-coding RNA (EGUI_LNC073433)
Source: RNAcentral
GGAUUGUGGCAUUGUAAUGUGCAUCAGUAUGGAUCGACACGCAUGGGACCCAGAGCCAGCAUUCGCCACAUGGCUUGUGAUGAUUGGUUGGAUCAGGUCUAGCCCUAUCAGUGGGCAGACACUGGGUUCCCUUCUAGCUGAUGAGGUGCCAAAGGUCAAGGAGCCAAUUCAACUCCUUGUGUGGCAGUUGGUUGUUUCUAGAUGUCU